RNAcentral lists this transfer RNA (80 nucleotides) under Candidatus Parabacteroides intestinigallinarum. RNAcentral's name for it is "tRNA-OTHER". The record is from RNAcentral. RNAcentral also lists the same sequence under 1 other name. Lineage: Bacteria; Pseudomonadati; Bacteroidota; Bacteroidia; Bacteroidales; Tannerellaceae.
GGGGCGGCAGGCGCGGCCGGAAAGUUGGUAAAUCGAAAGCGUAGGACAGCCGCCGGGGUUCGACUCCCCGCGCCCCACCA